GAUGAACGCUGGCGGCGUGCCUAAUACAUGCAAGUCGAGCGAACGGACGAGAAGCUUUCUUCUCUGAUGUUAGCGGCUGACGGGUGAGUAACACGUGGAUAACCUACCUAUAAGACUGGGAUAACUUCGGGAAACCGGAGCUAAUACCGGAUAAUAUUUUGAACCGCAUGGUUCACAAGUGAAAGACGGUCUUGCUGUCUCUUAUAGAUGGAUCCGCUCUGCAUUAGCUAGUUGGUAAGGUAACGGCUUACCAAGGCAACGAUGCAUAGCCGACCUGAGAGGGUGAUCGGCCACACUGGAACUGAGACACGGUCCAGACUCCUACGGGAGGCAGCAGUAGGGAAUCUUCCGCAAUGGGCGAAAGCCUGACGGAGCAACGCCGCGUGAGUGAUGAAGGUCUUCGGAUCGUAAAACUCUGUUAUUAGGGAAGAACAUAUGUGUAAGUAACUGUGCACAUCUUGACGGUACCUAAUCAGAAAGCCACGGCUAACUACGUG
RNAcentral lists this ribosomal RNA (497 nucleotides) under uncultured bacterium. Its description in RNAcentral is "partial 16S ribosomal RNA". It matches the Rfam family "Bacterial small subunit ribosomal RNA", at positions 28 to 507 of the family's 1533-position model. The record is from RNAcentral.